GAAGGCGAGAUCCAUGGAGGGGACGGAGCUGUGUUGACGCCGCCCCCUCCCCUUUGGCCGUGCCAUGCCCGAAGGCCAGCGCGCCUGAUGCCGCGUACUACCUCCGGUGUCCGGUUGGAGCCGCCGCUCACCGCCCCAGUCACCAGUGGCCCUGUGAACUGCCCCCCGAGCCACCGCGGAGGAGACUGUGGAAGCCGUUACAGUGGAGGGCUUCGCGCGAUCACGAUGCGGAGGAGCCGAGGGGCAGCAGCGCCGUCUUGCCGCUGGAUGCAGUCACGCUGCCGCUGUAUCCCACGCUCGUGCAUACUGCUGCCUUGACCUGUCCGUCCGCGCCGUCGUCAGCUAUUUCAGUGACCAGAGACCGUGCGUAGGCUCUGAUCCCCUGAGGAAACAUUGUUGCUCACUCUGUCGCCGGGCAAAACAUUGCCUCUGACCAUCUGCCGUGGAUGUUGAUGGUGUCCUGGUUGUGUUGAUGCCGAUGAAGGAUUGUCUGCAGCAGGAGGUUAUUAGAUUAAUCUGAUAUUUGAAGUUUAACUCAAUGAAAGUCCCAGUUUGUUAAAUUAAGACAUCACUGCAUACAAAUAUAUAUUUCUUUUGAACACAUGCAGUAGUAGUUAGUAGCAUUUAAAUCUCAGUAGAUACUAUAGUCUGUAUACACUCAAUUUGAGAACUAAUGAUUUUUUUCCCAAUCAGCUUGGCUUUGCUUUGGUAGUUUCCGCUUUGUCUAACAUCAACUAACAUAUUAGCCAAUUAUCCUCUGUACAUGGUGUUCUACUGCUGAAUUCCCUUAUAUAGUAGAGUUGAUGAUAAUCUUGCCUCCUACAGUAACUAAUGUAGAUGGAAGUUUGUUUGUCCAUCAAUCUCAAUAAUUUGUGUAACAUGGUAAUGCCCUGUAGCUUGUAUAUGCGUGCUGCACCUAAGUUUCAUAUUAUUUAAGUUUUCAAACAGAUUUUCUGAGUUUGGUUGAUAUCAAUAAAUGAACUAUAUCUGUUAGAGAACACUAUAGUAUGGAACUUAAGGUUGUGUUUGGUUCAGGAGCGGCGCGGGACUGUGCGGUCCUGUCCAUAUACAUUGAUACUUGUUUUCAGAUAGCUUAUGAAUGCCUUCAGAUCAUUUUAUAUGUACCAUACACCGCAAGAUGACAUGCAGGUAUGCCAAGCAAAUUACGUUGAGGGAGCAAAUUUAUUUUUCCUCUCUACAGAAAUUUAGCACUAGGCUUUGAAACUCCAAUGAAUGUAGGAAUGGCUUAUUGAUGUGGGGCACACGAUGCAGUCUGGCUUAUUGAUGUGUAAACUAAUAGCUGAUCUGGCUUAUUGAUGUGGAAACCAAUAGCUGGUCUGGCUUAUUGAUGUGGAAACCAAUCUGCAGUGUUUUUGAGGUUCUCUCUCAGUGUUUUUUUUUUGUUUCGGUUCCCAGAUUUGUGGCUAAUAAAAGCUCAGUAAUCAUCAUAUAUGAAUUUCUGUUUUGAUUAUACUGAUUGCUACACAAGCUAUCAAAAUUAUUUAUCAUCCCAUACCUAUCAACUAUAGAUUAUUCAGCAAGAAAAUGCUAUAUCUGUUGAGAACUGAAAAAGUUUCUAUGAAAACUGAAAAGUAGUAAGGUUGCGCAGUUGAGUUAAACUUGCUGGGAAUCUAGGUCACCCUUGCAGUAUGCAUCAUAGGCACUGGUAGUAUGAGAGCAGUUUUGCAUAAUUCAUAUUAGAAUAUGGAUUCAUGUCUGCUCAUGUGCCUACAACCUAUGGAAUUUGAUAUGACAAAGGAACAUCUAACAUUGUUAAAAAUUCUACUACUUAAAAUUUCCUUCUCUUAUCUGUGCAGUCUGGGCUUCUACUUCGGUUCCGGUAUCUAUGCCAUCAAAUCAUGGCGACUUCGUGUGCCAUCAAAUUGUGGUAAUUUUCUAUGCCAUCAACACUCGGAUAUGUUGCUAGAAACUUCUGCUCCCUCCUGUCAUAGUAGUCUACAAGAAAUGCUUGAUAUCUAAAGAUUUCACCUUUAUAUUUAAAGCCAUCUGUAUAAAUUCCCAUUAUAUUUGGAGAUUUUCACGACUACCUGUUGGUAAGCAACAUAAAAUGGGCAUGCAAGAUUACCAUUGCCAUGCAUGAGAAAACCACUCUAAUGCAAUACUUAUUUUAUAUCAGCUGAUCCUGCUUGCACUGCCCAGACCUGUUGUAUUAGUUGCCAUUGCAGUGCGUCAUGGAACUCGAUGUGUUGGAGCUCUACGGCAGUUUGUAUAUUUUCAAGAUUUUUCCUCUUUUUUUGUGUAGAGCCGCAAAUUCAGAGUACCAGUUUUGUGCAGGGCUGCUAACACUAGAUGUGUGCUUUGUUAACCUGUGGAGUUUGGUCACCAAAAGCUUCUUUAGAUUGUUGCAAAGAUAUAUAGUUCUGAGAGAUGUCUCCUUUUGCUGAACCUUUUAAUUGUGGCUAAACUCAUGUUGCCUCUCUA
This is a long non-coding RNA of Setaria italica (foxtail millet), 2442 nucleotides long. RefSeq lists it as uncharacterized. Lineage: Eukaryota; Viridiplantae; Streptophyta; Magnoliopsida; Poales; Poaceae. The transcript is spliced from 2 exons. The record is from RefSeq and is a predicted model, not a curated record.